UACAGAGGGGGCAAGCGUUGUUCGGAAUUACUGGGCGUAAAGGGCGCGUAGGCGGCUCGUGAAGUCGGGUGUGAAAGCCCGGGGCUCAACCCCGGAACGGCAUCCGAUACUGGCGGGCUUGAGACCGGGAGAGGAGGGUGGAGUACCCAGUGUAGAGGUGAAAUUCGUAGAUAUUGGGUGGAACACCGGUGGCGAAAGCGGCUCUCUGGCCCGGAUCUGACGCUGAGGCGCGAAAGCGUGGGGAGCAAACAGG
RNAcentral lists this ribosomal RNA (253 nucleotides) under uncultured bacterium. RNAcentral describes it as "partial 16S ribosomal RNA". It matches the Rfam family "Bacterial small subunit ribosomal RNA", at positions 524 to 776 of the family's 1533-position model. The record is from RNAcentral.